Molecule: ribosomal RNA, 245 nt
Filed under: uncultured bacterium
Lineage: Bacteria
Description: partial small subunit ribosomal RNA
Rfam family: Bacterial small subunit ribosomal RNA
Source: RNAcentral
AGAAUCAACGCUGGCGGCGUGCCUAACACAUGCAAGUCGCACGAGAAAGGGUAGCAAUACCUGAGUAAAGUGGCGCACGGGUGAGUAACACGUGAAUUAUCUACCUCCGAGUGGGGAAUAACUGAGAGAAAUCUUAGCUAAUACCGCAUAACACCUACGAGUCAAAGCAGCAAUGCGCUUGGAGAGGAGUUCGCGGCCGAUUAGUUAGUUGGCGGGGUAAUGGCCCACCAAGACGAUGAUUGGUA